RNAcentral lists this ribosomal RNA (323 nucleotides) under uncultured Teretomonas. RNAcentral describes it as "SSU rRNA". The stretch from base 106 to 323 matches the Rfam family "Eukaryotic small subunit ribosomal RNA", at positions 737 to 955 of the family's 1831-position model. Lineage: Eukaryota; Cercozoa; Glissomonadida. The record is from RNAcentral.
GAUUUCUGGCCUGGAGUGCCUGGCCCGCCAGCGUUAGCUGUGUGAGUGUCGGGACGCUUCUGCCAUCCUUCUAGAGAACUUACUUACCUUUCAUUAGGCCGAGUAAGCCAUCUAGAUCUUUUACUUUGAAAAAAUUAGAGUGUUUCAAGCAGGCUUUAUGCUAUGAAUACAUUAGCAUGGAAUAAUAAUUUAGGACUUCGGUUCUAUUUUGUUGGUUUCUAGGACUGAAGUAAUGAUUGAUAGGGAUAGUUGGGGGUGCUAGUAUUCAGCGGCCAGAGGUGAAAUUCUCGGAUUCGCUGAAGACUAACUUAUGCGAAAGCAUU